RNAcentral lists this long non-coding RNA (1155 nucleotides) under Salmo salar (Atlantic salmon). RNAcentral describes it as "lncRNA (ENSSSAG00000101223.1)". Lineage: Eukaryota; Metazoa; Chordata; Actinopteri; Salmoniformes; Salmonidae. The record is from RNAcentral.
CCUUGUUAGCAAUCCCGACUCGGGGUUCAUUGCUAACCUGUAGCCCCAACAGGUUUUAAGGGUUGUGAAUACUUUCUGAAGGCAGUGUAACACUUACAGCACCUGAGCAGCUGUUGAGUUUUCUUCUUGUCAUCUUCUCAUAGCACACCCUCUUCUACAAUGUCAAUGAAAAGACUGCAAAUACAGUACAGUAAUAUGUUCACCUAAACUCCUUCUCGAAGGGCUUUGCUUCAAUCAAGAAGCGGGUUGAUACGUGGUCACGUAACUCCCUUGCCGGUGCCGUUUCUGGAUGUGUAUCGAAUACGUUUUUUGGGGGAAGAUGCUUCACCGGGAAAUCAUUUGUUUCCUCUUUGCAAUCCACCCUACAGUGGGACCUUCACAUAUCCAGCAAAGGCAAUCGUUAAGACAGUCUUUUUUUCUGCUGCCAUUAAGGUCUAAUAUAUCACUUGUGCAGUCAAUUGUACUUGACAGGCAGCUUCUUGAACUUGAACUGGGUCAUCUGGUGACAGAUAGCAUGGCCUGUUUGUUCAAUUUCCUCUUCUGCAAUGGCAUCGCUCUGAAGUGACUUAUUAUAAAUCACUGUGGUUGCGUUCAUCAUGUAUCUUGUCAGCGCCACUGCGCCAGGGAAAGGCAAGGUGUGUGUGCCUGUGUGUGUGUGUGUGUGUGUGUGUGUGUGUGUCUGAGAGCGAGAGCGAGAGGAAAGACAGUGAGAGAUUGAUUAAGGACACAUAUACGGAGAGUAUCGUGGUAUGAGGAUAUUAAAGAGAAGGUAAGAGUAUGUUUACAUCAAUGUGAACUUGAGGGAGACAAAAACCUCAUGCAUUGGAUUCUGAAUAAUACCGUAUAUGCAUGGGUGUAGGUGUUGUGCCUUUAAGUUGAUGUGGCAGGUAAUACCAAGAGGAUAUAUGUGUGUGUGUGUGUGUGUGUGUGCGCAUGUGUUUGUGUGUGUGCGCUGAGAGUCACAUGGUAGGCUGAGAGAGAUGAAACCCUUUACUUGGCCCUUCACCCCUCAUCACCUUGAGGGGGUUCUUCUGGCUGCCGCAUAUAAGCUUAAAUGUGACUGAGAGAUAAUGAGGAUCAUUCCAUCCCAGAGAGAGAGCAAAAGAGCGAGAGAGAGUGAGGGGAGGGGGAGAGAGAGAGACAGACAGAGAGAUG